UUUUUUUUUUUUUUUUUUUUUUUUUUUUUUAAUAGAGAAAAAGGUAAUAUAUUCUUAGUUAGAAAUAUGAAGCAACUAGACUUCGAACUUAGAACUUCGGAUGCCAAUCACCAAGCCUCUUUCCACUUACGCUAACGGUAUGUUUGGUUGCCCGUAAAUGAAACAAUAAAAGUGGGUUAUUUCGGUUGUUUGGAUUAUAAAAGUAAAUAUGUAAAUUACUUUAAAAAGUGAAUCCAUAAAGUGGAUUAUAACUAAAAUUUACUUUUUUGAUUUCGGCGAAGAAAAUUCUGAAGUCGUUGAAAGUGGGCCGCCUACUCCACGCGACUUACGAACUGCAUCCAAAAACCUUUUUCCAUACCAUCUACAAAUAAUAAAAAAAUAAAAAAUAAAACAAAACCACUAUACCUUAAUAAAAAAAAAAACCCAACACAUUUAAAAAAAAAAAAACAAAACAAA
This 456-nucleotide long non-coding RNA is filed under the name Ananas comosus (pineapple). Its description in RNAcentral is "long non-coding RNA (ACOM_LNC041754)". Lineage: Eukaryota; Viridiplantae; Streptophyta; Magnoliopsida; Poales; Bromeliaceae. The record is from RNAcentral.